Molecule: ribosomal RNA, 417 nt
Filed under: Triticum aestivum (bread wheat)
Lineage: Eukaryota; Viridiplantae; Streptophyta; Magnoliopsida; Poales; Poaceae
Description: partial small subunit ribosomal RNA
Source: RNAcentral
AUGGGCGUUGAGGUCCACCUUCCUUCCAAUGACCUCCCCAUCCAUGUUCACCUUCACCCACCCGGGCACCCGGACCUUCUUCUCGGUCUCAUCCUUGUCUUUCUGCGAGCCGGAAUCAUCGGCGGCAGCCUUCUUGGUUUCGGCAUCCGAGGCAUUGUCUUUCGCCUGGCCGAACAGGCUGUUCAUCCUGAAUGUUCUUAUUGGUGGCCAUCCCACCACUCCAAAGCUGCUGGCACACCAAAAAAAAAAAAACAGGUAGUUUGGAUUAGUCCAGGUGAGGCUUAUAUGGGUAGCUCAGCAAAUCAGGCAACACUGACAUCACAUAAUGUUUCCUUUUGGUGCCAUACACAAAUCUCGAACGGCGGUCAGACAGAUGUGUUUUUGCUGCAUCAGAAUGGCAAAACAACCGCCAGAUAA